AGAACGAACGCUGGCGGCAUGCCUAAUACAUGCAAGUCGAACGAACACUUCGGUGUUAGUGGCGCACGGGUGCGUAACGCGUGGGAAUCUGCCCUUGGGUUCGGAAUAACAGUUGGAAACGACUGCUAAUACCGGAUGAUAUCGAAAGAUCAAAGACUUAUCGCCCAGGGAUGAGCCCGCGUAGGAUUAGCUAGUUGGUGAGGUAAAGGCUCACCAAGGCGACGAUCCUUAGCUGGUCUGAGAGGAUGAUCAGCCACACUGGGACUGAGACACGGCCAGACUCCGUACGGGAGGCAGCAGGUAGGGAAUAUUGGACAAGUGGGCGCGAAGCCUGGACUCCAGCUAAUGACCGCGUGAGGUGAGU
This 364-nucleotide ribosomal RNA is filed under the name uncultured soil bacterium. RNAcentral describes it as "bacterial SSU rRNA". It matches the Rfam family "Bacterial small subunit ribosomal RNA", at positions 26 to 411 of the family's 1533-position model. The record is from RNAcentral.